Molecule: signal recognition particle RNA, 273 nt
Filed under: Candidatus Woesearchaeota archaeon
Lineage: Archaea; Nanobdellati; Candidatus Woesearchaeota
Description: signal recognition particle sRNA
Rfam family: Archaeal signal recognition particle RNA
Source: RNAcentral
GGACAGGCUAGACUGGGAGGGUAGCACUCUCCUGUCACCCAAAACGUGCUUUAGUGGGAGUCGAAGCUGAAAAAGCGUCUUGAAGAGAUAGAGAAAGUCUUCCUGUGGACGGCGACGAUCUGUCCUGCUUGAUCGAACUUUAUGAGAACCACGUCAGGGCAGGAAUGCAGCAGCGUUAAUCAUACUGAUUGAUGUUUGCAGGGUAGCGGAUCUGAGGAAACAGGAAGGUAGCUUGCUUUAUCUUUUCUUGGUCAUUUUUUGGCGUGCUUGUCC